RNAcentral lists this ribosomal RNA (253 nucleotides) under uncultured bacterium. RNAcentral describes it as "partial 16S ribosomal RNA". It matches the Rfam family "Bacterial small subunit ribosomal RNA", at positions 524 to 776 of the family's 1533-position model. The record is from RNAcentral.
CACGUAGGGCGCAAGCGUUGUCCGGAAUUAUUGGGCGUAAAGAGCUCGUAGGCGGUCUGUUGCGUCCGCUGUGAAAACUCGGGGCUUAACCCCGAGCCUGCAGUGGAUACGGGCAGACUAGAGGUAGGUAGGGGAGAAUGGAAUUCCCGGUGUAGCAGUGAAAUGCGUAGAUAUCUGGAGGAACACCGGUGGCGAAGGCGGCGUUCUGGACUGCAACUGACACUGAGAAACGAAAGCCAGGGUAGCAAACGGG